UGAGACUUGAUUCCAAAAUGAUGGGGACC
RNAcentral lists this non-coding RNA (29 nucleotides) under Mus musculus (house mouse). Lineage: Eukaryota; Metazoa; Chordata; Mammalia; Rodentia; Muridae. The record is from RNAcentral.